This 349-nucleotide ribosomal RNA is filed under the name uncultured bacterium. RNAcentral's name for it is "bacterial SSU rRNA". It matches the Rfam family "Bacterial small subunit ribosomal RNA", at positions 8 to 349 of the family's 1533-position model. The record is from RNAcentral.
AGAGUUUGAUCCUGGCUCAGGAUGAACGCUAGCUACAGGCUUAACACAUGCAAGUCGAGGGGCAGCAUGUUGGUUGCUUGCAACCAAUGAUGGCGACCGGCGCACGGGUGAGUAACGCGUAUCCAACCUACCCUUGUCCAUCGGAUAACCCGUCGAAAGGCGGCCUAACACGAUAUGCGGUUCACAGCAGGCAUCUAAGGUGAACGAAAUGUGAAGGAGAAGGAUGGGGAUGCGUCUGAUUAGCUUGUUGGCGGGGCAACGGCCACCAAGGCGACGAUCAGUAGGGGGUUCUGGAGAGGAAGGUCCCCCACAUUGGAACUGAGACACGGUCCAAACUCCUACGGGAGCA